AGCAGUAGCCGCGGGAAUACGUAGGUGGCGAGCGUUGUCCGGAAUCAUUGGGCGUAAAGGGAGCGCAGGCGGGCAUGUAAGCCUUUCUUAAAAGUUCGGGGCUCAACCCCGUGAUGGGAAAGAAACUACAUGUCUUGAGUACAGGAGAGGAAAGCGGAAUUCCCAGUGUAGCGGUGAAAUGCGUAGAUAUUGGGAGGAACACCGGCGGCGAAGGCGACUUUCUGGACGAAAACUGACGCUGAGGCGCGAAAGCCAGGGGAGCGAACGGGAUUAGAUACCCCAGUAGUCCCUGUCUCUUAUACA
This 303-nucleotide ribosomal RNA is filed under the name uncultured bacterium. RNAcentral's name for it is "partial 16S ribosomal RNA". It matches the Rfam family "Bacterial small subunit ribosomal RNA", at positions 507 to 809 of the family's 1533-position model. The record is from RNAcentral.